Molecule: ribosomal RNA, 700 nt
Filed under: Pseudomonas chlororaphis subsp. piscium
Lineage: Bacteria; Pseudomonadati; Pseudomonadota; Gammaproteobacteria; Pseudomonadales; Pseudomonadaceae
Description: bacterial SSU rRNA
Rfam family: Bacterial small subunit ribosomal RNA
Source: RNAcentral
CACAUGCAAGUCGAGCGGUAGAGAGGUGCUUGCACCUCUUGAGAGCGGCGGACGGGUGAGUAAUGCCUAGGAAUCUGCCUGGUAGUGGGGGAUAACGUUCGGAAACGGACGCUAAUACCGCAUACGUCCUACGGGAGAAAGCAGGGGACCUUCGGGCCUUGCGCUAUCAGAUGAGCCUAGGUCGGAUUAGCUAGUUGGUGAGGUAAUGGCUCACCAAGGCGACGAUCCGUAACUGGUCUGAGAGGAUGAUCAGUCACACUGGAACUGAGACACGGUCCAGACUCCUACGGGAGGCAGCAGUGGGGAAUAUUGGACAAUGGGCGAAAGCCUGAUCCAGCCAUGCCGCGUGUGUGAAGAAGGUCUUCGGAUUGUAAAGCACUUUAAGUUGGGAGGAAGGGUACUUACCUAAUACGUGAGUAUUUUGACGUUACCGACAGAAUAAGCACCGGCUAACUCUGUGCCAGCAGCCGCGGUAAUACAGAGGGUGCAAGCGUUAAUCGGAAUUACUGGGCGUAAAGCGCGCGUAGGUGGUUCGUUAAGUUGAAUGUGAAAUCCCCGGGCUCAACCUGGGAACUGCAUCCAAAACUGGCGAGCUAGAGUAUGGUAGAGGGUGGUGGAAUUUCCUGUGUAGCGGUGAAAUGCGUAGAUAUAGGAAGGAACACCAGUGGCGAAGGCGACCAUCUGGACUGAUACUGACACU